GAAGAUUCAGCAGUUCGCUCUCACUAAUUCAGGGCGCGUCGAAGGCACCGCGACGGUGGGAGUCACUAUACGGAUAUCAGGCCAGUUGCAUUAUUUCUUGCCUGAUAUUUUUAUUUAUUGUUGCAGACUGGGGUAGGAUGCCGAAGAUGUAGAGGUUGUUGCUCCAGUGACGCUGGAGCCCAUUCAAAGGAAGAGAAUAUGCGCGUUUUCCCUCCUAACCAUUUGAGUAGUGUUCUGUGCAAUUUAUGCACAUUUUGAAAAUUUAGUUAUAGACGUCGAAUUUAUCUCCAAUCCUCUAUUGUGCCGUAUCUUCUACAAUCUUUCAUAUUUUAGCAUGAAUUUUUUUAAAUGUGUGUUAGAAAGCUUGUAUAUCAUACAUACAUGUGCUAUUUUCUUUUGAUUAUCUCCUUUCAGACUGUU
RNAcentral lists this long non-coding RNA (420 nucleotides) under Triticum aestivum (bread wheat). Its description in RNAcentral is "long non-coding RNA (TAES_LNC023253)". Lineage: Eukaryota; Viridiplantae; Streptophyta; Magnoliopsida; Poales; Poaceae. The record is from RNAcentral.